GAUGAAGAACGUAGCAAAAUGCGAUACUUGGUGUGAAUUGCAGAAUCCCGUGAACCAUCGAGUUUUUGAACGCAAGUUGCGCCCGAAGCCUUUUGGCCGAGGGCACGUCUGCCUGGGCGUCACGCAUCGCGUCGCCCCCCACAAUUCUCCGCAAAGGGAACCUGUGUUUUGGGGGCGGAUAUUGGUCUCCCGUGCUCAUGGCGUGGUUGGCCGAAAUAGGAGUCCCUUCGACGGCCGCACGAACUAGUGGUGGUCGUAAAAACCCUCGUCUUUUGUUUCGUGCCGUCAGUCGCAAGGGAAACUCUUGGAAAACCCCAACGUGUCGUCUCUUGACGACGCUUCGACCGCGACCCCAGGUCAGGCGGGACUACCCGCUGAGUUUAAGCAUAUCAAUAAGCGGAGGA
Molecule: unclassified non-coding RNA, 404 nt
Filed under: soil metagenome
Description: partial contains 5.8S ribosomal RNA, internal transcribed spacer 2, and large subunit ribosomal RNA
Rfam family: 5.8S ribosomal RNA (bases 1-122)
Source: RNAcentral